RNAcentral lists this small nucleolar RNA (140 nucleotides) under Ochotona princeps (American pika). RNAcentral describes it as "Small nucleolar RNA SNORA74 (ENSOPRG00000024089.1)". The record is from RNAcentral. Lineage: Eukaryota; Metazoa; Chordata; Mammalia; Lagomorpha; Ochotonidae.
CCUAGCUGUAGCCAACUGCCUAGGUUACCUUGUACCUAGGCAAGAGUUCUACUGCUGGGAAAAAAACAGCCAAUAACUGAUGGGCAUUCUGGGCCUGGUUAAUGCUAAAUUUGUGUUAACUGUACCAGUAUGUCCACAUA